GAUGAACGCUGGCGGCGUGCCUAAUACAUGCAAGUCAAGCGAACAGACGAGGAGCUUACUCCUCUGACGUUAGCGGCGGACGGGUGAGUAACACGUGGAUAACCUACCUAUAAGACUGGGAUAACUUCGGGAAACCGGAGCUAAUACCGGAUAACAUGUUGAACCGCAUGGUUCAACAGUGAAAGACGGUCUUGCUGUCACUUAUAGAUGGAUCCGCGUCGCAUUAGCUAGUUGGUAAGGUAACGGCUUACCAAGGCAACGAUGCGUAGCCGACCUGAGAGGGUGAUCGGACACACUGGAACUGAGACACGGUCCAGACUCCUACGGGAGGCAGCAGUAGGGAAUCUUCCGCAAUGGGCGAAAGCCUGACGGAGCAACGCCGCGUGAGGGAAGAAGGUCUUCGGAUCGUAAAACUCUGUUAUUAGGGAAGAACAAAUGUGUAAGUACCUAUGCACGUCUUGACGGUACCUAAUCAGAAAGCCACGGCUAACUACGUG
This 497-nucleotide ribosomal RNA is filed under the name uncultured bacterium. RNAcentral's name for it is "partial 16S ribosomal RNA". It matches the Rfam family "Bacterial small subunit ribosomal RNA", at positions 28 to 507 of the family's 1533-position model. The record is from RNAcentral.